This 83-nucleotide transfer RNA is filed under the name Fodinibius sediminis. It matches the Rfam family "tRNA". From Rfam's summary of the family: Transfer RNA (tRNA) molecules are approximately 80 nucleotides in length. Their secondary structure includes four short double-helical elements and three loops (D, anti-codon, and T loops). Further hydrogen bonds mediate the characteristic L-shaped molecular structure. tRNAs have two regions of fundamental functional importance: the anti-codon, which is responsible for specific mRNA codon recognition, and the 3' end, to which the tRNAs corresponding amino acid is attached (by aminoacyl-tRNA synthetases). tRNAs cope with the degeneracy of the genetic code in two manners: having more than one tRNA (with a specific anti-codon) for a particular amino acid; and 'wobble' base-pairing, i.e. permitting non-standard base-pairing at the 3rd anti-codon position. The record is from Rfam by way of RNAcentral. Lineage: Bacteria; Pseudomonadati; Balneolota; Balneolia; Balneolales; Balneolaceae.
GCGAGAGUGGCGGAAUUGGUAGACGCGCUAGAUUUAGGAUCUAGUGCCUUUAUGGCGUGGGGGUUCGAGUCCCCCCUCUCGUA